This 440-nucleotide ribosomal RNA is filed under the name uncultured bacterium. RNAcentral's name for it is "bacterial SSU rRNA". It matches the Rfam family "Bacterial small subunit ribosomal RNA", at positions 953 to 1392 of the family's 1533-position model. The record is from RNAcentral.
GAAGCAACGCGAAGAACCUUACCUAAGCUUGACAUCCUUUUGACCGAUGCCUAAUCGUAUCUUUCCCUUCGGGGACAGAAGUGACAGGUGGUGCAUGGUUGUCGUCAGCUCGUGUCGUGAGAUGUUGGGUUAAGUCCCGCAACGAGCGCAACCCUUGCCUUUAGUUGCCAGCAUUAAGUUGGGCACUCUAGAGGGACUGCCAGGGAUAACCUGGAGGAAGGUGGGGAUGACGUCAAAUCAUCAUGCCCCUUAUGCUUAGGGCUACACACGUGCUACAAUGGGUGGUACAGAGGGCAGCCAAGUCGUGAGGCGGAGCUAAUCCCUUAAAGCCAUUCUCAGUUCGGAUUGUAGGCUGAAACUCGCCUACAUGAAGCUGGAGUUACUAGUAAUCGCAGAUCAGAAUGCUGCGGUGAAUGCGUUCCCGGGUCUUGUACACACCG